GACGAACGCUGGCGGCGUGCUUAACACAUGCAAGUCGAACGGAAAGGCCCUGCUUUUGUGGGGUGCUCGAGUGGCGAACGGGUGAGUAACACGUGAGUAACCUGCCCUUGACUUUGGGAUAACUUCAGGAAACUGGGGCUAAUACCGGAUAGGAGCUCCUGCUGCAUGGUGGGGGUUGGAAAGUUUCGGCGGUUGGGGAUGGACUCGCGGCUUAUCAGCUUGUUGGUGGGGUAGUGGCUUACCAAGGCUUUGACGGGUAGCCGGCCUGAGAGGGUGACCGGCCACAUUGGGACUGAGAUACGGACCAGACUCCUACCGGAGGCAGCAGUGGGGAAUAUUGCAGAAUGGGCGGAAGCCUGAUGCAGCAACGCCGCGUGCGGGAUGACGGCCUUCGGGUUGUAAACCGCUUUCGCCUGUGACGAAGCGUGAGUGACGGUAAUGGGUAAAGAAGCACCGGCUAACUACGUG
This 468-nucleotide ribosomal RNA is filed under the name uncultured bacterium. Its description in RNAcentral is "partial 16S ribosomal RNA". It matches the Rfam family "Bacterial small subunit ribosomal RNA", at positions 28 to 507 of the family's 1533-position model. The record is from RNAcentral.